Python bivittatus (Burmese python) is the source of this 2083-nucleotide non-coding RNA. The record is from RefSeq and is a predicted model, not a curated record. Lineage: Eukaryota; Metazoa; Chordata; Lepidosauria; Squamata; Pythonidae.
GAGGUCGGAAAGAGGAUGGAACCCGCAGAGGGAAAAGGAGGCCUUUUUCUUUUCACAAAGCGCCGGCAGGGGAAAGAGCGCCGCGGGUCUCCCUAGUCGUGGAGGACGCCGCGGGAACGUCAGAACCGGGCUUCUAAACAAGCAGCUCGGCCGGUGCAGCAGGAAGCUUUGCGAGGAAAGCUGGGUUUGUGGGCCAGGACCGACCGACGCCGGCACUGCGUGGGCGGUGGGGAGAGAAGGAGGCUUGGCACCCGAAGUUGACGGGGCCUUGGCGUGGAAACGCCGGCGCGAACCUCAACAGCUGGCGCCCCCACCUGGAAAGUCCCUUCCCCUCCCUUCCCAGAUCGUAGCCCGUGUCUCUCCCAACGACAAAAAUUGCGGCAGGCCAGCUUUUUCCUCUCGGCAACGGGGGAGGUUGGGGCUUCGUUAGGUCUCCAGGACUGGCUGGAGAAAUCCGGAGGAGCACCAGGUGGCACCCCAGAGUUAGGGUUUGAUGCUGUCACUGGCUUCUGGGCAGCACCUGGCCGACCUCGCUAAGCAAGGUCGGAGGAGGACCUAUUUAUCUGUGGAUGGGAGACCACGAGAAAAUCCCAGGGUGCUGGAGAACUAGAAGAAUAAUGACACAUCACUUCUUGUUGCUAAGAAAACUACAUUGAUUUCUUCAUCCGGAGUUGAACUUAACUGGAGGAAUAUUCUAUCUUACCUGUGUUUGGUGGUGGUGGUUGUUGUUAUUAUUAUUAUUAUUAUUUCCACAUUCUGCAAGGCCUACCAUGAAGAACUCACUGAAUCCUGAAAGCUUCCAGUAUGUCACUGGUUGGCUAGAGGAACAAAACAGGCUAAGCCACUAAGUAGUUUGUUUGGGCUUGGCAUGUUGUAUGAAAGCAGCCAUGGGGACUUUCUAAGGAAGUGUAGAAGAUGGAGCUGCAUAAUCGUCUGAACGGGAAGAUGGUAAACCUGGCCAGCCCUCGCCCAGGACACAGAGUAGCCUUACAAAGAGGCAACAUUUGUGGCUAGACCUGCCUUCAGGAAAAGCAUUUAGAAGAAGACAGCAAAGGCGAGUUGGACAUCGCGAGCUCUCCACGGGCCUCCUUGUUCACCAGGUGAGCUCGUCCACAACUCUCCCCAGGCCCACGAUCACCAAAAGAGGCAAGCCAGAGGGGCGACGAGCCGAGGCAUCUGACCCUGCCAGCCAGAAAAUGGAGAGAACAACAGAUUUUUUCCGAACACAUAGUGGGAAUCAGUACAUGCAUCCCUAGAAGGGGAAACAUCUGAGAAACUCUCUAGUCUCCCUGCAAACCUGGCAUGUGCUCAGUUUGAGAAAGGAAGAAAGAAAGAUUUUAUUUUGUGUUUAAUACCAUUCACAUGUUCAUUUUUUGAGAUCGGGAGCAGAUUCCCGCCUGUUGUAUAGUCAAUGUCGCAUCAGGAUUGAAAAAGUCUGCCCUGUAUUUCAGUAAAAUUCGACUUCUGCUCUUAUGUGCGUCUUUUUUAAAAAAACAGGGUGUUAUUAAGAGAAAGUGCCUCCCCACUUCUGGUCUCUGUUUUUAUUGCCUGAUUCGGAGCAUGUUUUGCUCGGAAACAAAUUCCACUAAUCCCAAUGGGGCCACGUCUGGAAUAGCUGCGGCUACUCUACAGCCCCAAAUCAUUUGCUCCCGGAUUUUGGGGAUGCAUUGCGAUAGAAUUUCCACAGGUAUCUCGAAAUACAGUGGAAAUUACUGCGGGUUAUGCACGCCUAAAUCUGAACUGGAUUGUGACCACCACAAGUGUGCAUAGGAUCGGGCGCAUCCGCUUCUGAGAUCCAGGCAACGGCCACGAAUAGGUGCUGAAGGAGAGAAAGAGGGAGAAAAUUUGAAACGCCAAAGCAGGCGGCUUCUUUGCACAAAGUAACUCAACCUCGGGUCUGAAAGUCCAUAAUUUUAUUUUACUCUAUCUAGCAGAAUUUUGUAACAGAUAUUAAUGGGCGCAUAAAUAGUGCCAAGGACGUAUUGAACAAAGCUACUAAGUACAAAGAGGUUGUUCCGGAAGAAAAUUAUAAAUAAAUAGAAAGAAAGAAACCCAUUAUUGUAGUUCGAGUUGAUUCAUACCU